AUCCCGUGGUGAGGGCAUUCUGAUAUGUAAUCUUAAAAGUGUUCCCAUGCCUCAAGGAUAGAUUCAUCAUACUACUACUGAAAAGUUGAGAUCUUUGCAUGUAGGGC
Molecule: small nucleolar RNA, 107 nt
Filed under: Sorghum bicolor (sorghum)
Lineage: Eukaryota; Viridiplantae; Streptophyta; Magnoliopsida; Poales; Poaceae
Description: Plant small nucleolar RNA R71
Rfam family: Plant small nucleolar RNA R71
About the family: R71 is a member of the C/D box family of snoRNAs containing the C (UGAUGA) and D (CUGA) box motifs. Multiple nearly identical copies of this snoRNA have been identified in Arabidopsis, and it is thought to function as a 2'-O-ribose methylation guide for 18S ribosomal RNA.
Source: Rfam by way of RNAcentral